GAGCCACCACCCGCGCGACGGCGUACCUGUACAAAGCCUCACCGGUGGUUCCGGUGAGGACCCUCCGACGCUCAAGUUAGAGUGGAUCUUAAUUGGUCCAAGGGUCCCCCUUUAUAUUACCUGAUGGGGCUAUUUAUAGUUCCGGUAGGGGUGUCCAGGUGACGGAGGUAUGGCCCGUCCUCAUUAUGGGAGGAGAUGGGUUUUAGACAGGUGGCGCGCAGCUAAUGCUUGCUUGAAGCGCACGGCGUAGGCCGUUCUUGUGAACGGUAAGGCGUUGAUAGGCUUAACGGAGUAUGGCUGGAGUAGCAUGGCGUUGUCCAUGGCUAUCGUCGGCCAGCAAGCAAAGCAUGGCGCGGUGAUAUUGUAACGUACAACCACGCAGGUGGGCAUGGGCACGCACGUGGAUGCGGUCGUGAGCGAGGCCGAGCUCGAUGAGAGGUCGCAUCAUGUAUUUGACAAGGUCGGCUUGGCGGGUAUUGAGGUCGGCCUAGCUUUUCCGAUUUUGAAGUUUGCUCGGUAGGGCGCCCCGAGUUCGGCCAGGGCGCGUCGUCGAAUAGAUAAGGGGCACCCCGAGCUCGGUCGGGGCGCGUCGACGAAUAGAUAGGCGCGCCUCGAGCUCAGUCGGGGCGUAUCGGCGAAUAGAUAAAGGGGCACCCCGAGCUUAGUCGGAGCGCGUCGGCGAAUAGAUAAGGAGCGCCCCGAACUCGGUCGGGGUGCGUCGGCGAAUAUAAGGGCGCCCCGAGCUCGGUCGGGACGCGUCGGCGAAUAUAAGGGUGCCCCGAACUCGGUCGGGCCGCGUCGGCGAAUAGUCUCGCGGUCGAAGGAGCUCUUUGGCUUGCAGCUGACACAGCAGGGCAUUCCGAGCUCGGGCCUGGGACGCCAUUAUAAACAUCAGAGGAGGUCACUGCAAGUCGUAGUGGCCGAGAGAUCCGGCCGAGGUUAACUGAGCCUUCGGCGGAGUCCGAGAUUGGGCUGGUUCUGGGCAAGGCCAAGAUCCUGCCUGUUUGGUGUUGCGGCCUGCCCAGCCGGGGUGGGACGAUCCCUUGCCCUAAGCAGGACGAUCCAUUUUGCCCCCCAUCAUUUGCCCUCUGACUUCCGAGGUCGAGUCGCUCUUUGGCUCGGGCUAAGAAAGUAGCUGGAUUGUUGGUCGUUCUGCGUUGUGAUUAAGUGCCUAUGAAGAUGUACGCACCGAGCAGGGAACACUUGGUGUGUUGUCAGGGCUGAUGGCUUCGAGCCAGGCUUCCUGAGCGGGAUUUGUGUGGCUUAGGUUGCUACGUUACUCUAAGCAGAAACGGCCGUGGGAGCUCUUUAAUGUGCCACGUGCACACUUUUUUUCAAGGCAUUGCUGGAUGGAACGCAAGGGGGCCAAUCAUUAAUGCCUCGUCCCUCGAAAUGCCUCGCCUGAUGGAACACGAGGGGCCGGUUAUUAAUAUCUCGUUCUCCGAAACGCCCCCCAUAAUAAUCAGCUUUUAGUGCCACGAUCCAGGAAGAUUUGUUGAGGUCGCUUCUGGGCCUGCCACUCGGUGGGAUUUGGCUCGCUUCAUCGCUUAGGUUAGCCGAUUAGAGCCAUUGUAGUGGGCUAUAUAAGGCCUGGAAGGGACCCUAGGGUCCUUAUUUGAUCCCUCUUGUCCCUACUUCUUUUCUCUCUGACUGCCGUUGCUGUGGUGUUCGAGCUUCUCAUUGGGUGUUUUUGGAGCUCCCGGCGACCUUUGCGACGAGCCUUGCUCUCGAUUUCCGGCGAUCAUCCUUCUUCUCCCGAUCAUCUUCUUCGGUGAACUCUUAGGUAGCUGUUUUAUCCCUUUUCGAUCGCUCGGAAUACUUCUUGUCUUUUUUUUUUUUGAUUUUGUGACCAAAGCAAUGAGGUCGCCUACAAGGGCCCUGAUGCUCGACGCAGGUUCAUCCCGAGCCCAGGCUUCUUCAGAUGUGGAGGCUGAAAUCGAGGUGAAUCAAGGUCCGUAUGGGACUAGCUCAAGCAUCAGUGUAGAGGAGCUGGGCUUGAUUCAGGCUCGGUUUUUUUUUCUCUUGAGUUCAUCCUCGAGCUUCCGGAGCUCGGGGCUCGAGCCGCUGACCCCCCUAGAGGUCGGAUCGGGGUGUAUAUAGAAACACUCCAAGCAGGGUUGAGGUUUCCUCUGCACGGAUUUGUGAACGAGCUCUUGACGACUUACCGUCUCGUCCCUGCGCAGCUCGCUCCGAACUCGUGGAGAAUGAUAAUCGGCUUCCUCGCUCUUUGCCUUGCACAUGGUCUACCCUCCUUGAUGAGCGUCUUUCGGAGUUGCUUUAUAUUAAAAGGCAACCCCGCAUACAAAGGAUGGUGGUACUUCUCCUUUCGGGGAGGCCGCAAGCUCUUCCAGGGCGUUCCUUCCUCCAUUCAUAGGUGGAAGGAUAAAUUCUUCUUUGUUUCCUCCGAGUGAUCGUGGGGGUUUAACCCGACCUGAAGCUUUUCGUGGGCCACGGUGAAUAACAAGCUCCCCCAGUUGUCACAGUUCAAGCAGGGCGUUCUAGACAGGCUGCUCAGGCUGGAAGGGAUUCCAUGGCUUUCCGACCUGCUCAGCGAGGAGGCCUUGUUGAAUGUCGCCCCGAGCUCGGCUCGUCCCGAUGGUAAGGGCAGCGCAGCUACUUCUCUUUUCUUUUUCCCAUGCUGGAUUCUAACAAAGUCUUUUUGCCAGAAAUCGCAAAGAUGAUCUUCAGUGUCGAGAUAUUGAUGGCCAGGUAUAGGAAGAGGGUGGUCGCCUCGGAUGGAGCUCAGUCCGAGAGAAAGCCGAAGAAGGCCAGAGCUGCCUCUAGCUCUAGGAUUGAGCGGGGUGAGCUCGCUCAGAUUGAGGCUGCCGACCCUGCUCGGGCUGGGUCCGAGCAGGUCCCCUCGGUGGAGGUCGAGGUGCCCCCAUCAACGAUAGGGGGCACCAGUGAACAAGUGGCCGCCGUGUCUGUCGGCCAAACUCAGGAGGUUCACGAGGCCACCCAACCGCGCGAAUCGGGUCUCGAGCCGAGGAGCGGGCUUGAGGUCCCAACUUCUUCCAAGGUCCCGACUCCUGUUGGGGCUAGGACUCCUCCCGAGGUCUUGAGCUCAGCCGGUGUCCCGACUCCAGUCGAGGCUGCGACCGCAGCCAGGGUCCUGACCUCAGCUGGGGUCGAGUCUACUCCCUCCGAGCUCGGAAGGAGGCGAUUCCGGACGGAGUGUCGUUUGUUCGAAGACGACAUGGCUCUUGAGUCCGGCAACGUCGCCCACGAGCUUGUUCGUUGCGCCACGCUUUCGGGCGACUGGGCUUUUUUGGACCAGCUGGGGUUCGAUGUGUUUGCCGACGAGGCCUAUACCGUCAGCAUCUUGGUAAGUGAUAUCACUCUUUUUCUUUUCACACAUUUGAGUGUUCAAUUUCGGUUAACAUUUCGUUUCUUGCACCAUGUUCUCCAUAUGAUCGACAUGCUUGUGUCCGGCGUGUCUAGCUACCAGGGGGAGUUGAGGGCGCUUCGGCCAAGGAUGGAGCACGCCGAGCUUCUGAGACAGGAGGCCGAGACUCGAGCACUGACUGCCACUCAGCAGCAGCAAGAGGCCGAAGAACGAGCGACGGCUGCCGAGCAACAACGGCGUGAGGCCGAGCAAAGGGCUGCGGCCGCCGAGCAGCGGCAGCACGAGGUUGAGGAGAGGGCGGCGGCCGCCGAGCAGCAACAUCAAAGGGCCAGGAAGAAAGCACGGGCGGCCGAAGCUCUGAUUAAAGACGGACUCGCCCGGAUCCAGAAUAUGGAGGUCGAGCACGCCCGGGCUUGUUCAUCCGCUGAAGGUCGUAUCUUUGAGCUCGAAGCUGCACUAAACAGCCAGCGGGACGAAGCCAAGGCCAUGAGGCUGAAGGCCGACCGACUUGAAAGGCUCGUGGGGGAGUCUGCUCGGGAAGCCGUCGAGAAUUUUUGUCAAUCCAAGGAAUACCUCGACGAGCUGGCGGAGGGGGCUACCAGCGCUAUGAUCCAGGGCUUUGAGAACUGUCAUGAUCAAGCCCAACAGUUCUGCCCUGGAGUCGACCUCAGCGGCCUUGAACCGAACCUGGGCGACGCUGCCGAGGUGAAGGACGGAGGUGCUGCAGAGGCCAUUACUGAAGUUGGGCCAGAGAUUAUCCCCGAAGUCGCCACUGGGAUGGAAUUAGAAGCCGUUUCCGAGGCUGGCGUCGAAACUGAAGCUGCUCCUGAGGUCGGUGCCAAGGUCGUCCAAGUCGACUGAGCUAGCUUUUGUUUUUCUUUUUGUAAAGUCGGCCACUUGGGCCUUUUGUAUUCAACCCGACCUUAAGGUCGGUUUCUCUUGUACUCAGCCCUUGGCCCUUUUAAUAUCAAUGAAGUACAUUUUUUUUCCAAUGCUUUGCAUUUUGAAGUCCGACGAAGUAUUUGAACUCGUCUCACUUGGUACUUGGCGUUGGGCUUUUGUGUUCGGCUAAAUAGGGUCCAAGCUAUAUAGCUUAAGUGCUAGCUUAACCUUCACAUAGUAGGACCUUCGUGUGAAGUUUUUGCCAAGUCUCUGCACUCGGCAUUUACUUCCAACUCGGAGAUAACCUUGCAAAGCCGGUGAAGAGUUUAUUUAUUCCGGAGCCCGUCCACUGGUGUGCUUUAGGUGUCUAGGUCGAACAUCAGGUUUGCUUCGGACCUUUUGCGGGGACUGAGCCCGAGGUCUUCUUUUUGCACUAUAGUGUGCCAGGGGGCUUUUUAGAUAGGAGAUUGUCGCAAGCUUUAGCACCCUUCUGCCUCGUAGAUCUCUGUGGACCUCAGCUGGGGUGCUUGGUUCAGGCUCGGGUCGCCCUCGAGUUUUUCCCAAGACCCAGGUUGGGAGAGCUCUUUUGGCUUGUGGUCGAUUUUGCAAGACGAUCUUGGAGGAUAAAAGUACCUGCAGUCGAACGAGAGCUCGCAGCUCUUCAUUCGGUACUGCAGGGCACUUCGAGGUCGGCUCAAGAGGUGACAUUGGAGAGUAAGAAAAACUAGCUCGAGGGUAGAAACCAGCUCGAGGGUAGGCACCAGCCCGAUAGAAGCGAGCUCGAGGACCAGCGCGAGGGUAGAAACGGACUCGAGGGUAGGCACCAGCUCGAGUGUAGAAACGAGCCCGAGGGUAGGGACUAGCUCGAGAGUAGAAACCAGCUCGAGGGUAAGCACCAGCUUGAGGAUAGAAAUGGACUCGAGGGUAGGCACCAGCUUGAGGAUAGAAACGGACUCGAGGGUAGGCACCGGCUUGAGGAUAGAAACGGACUCGAGGGUAAGCACCGGCUCGAGGNNNNNNNNNNNNNNNNNNNNNNNNNNNNNNNNNNNNNNNNNNNNNNNNNNNNNNNNNNNNNNNNNNNNNNNNNNNNNNNNNNNNNNNNNNNNNNNNNNNNNNNNNNNNNNNNNNNNNNNNNNNNNNNNNNNNNNNNNNNNUCGAGAGUAAGCACCAGCUCGAGGAUAGAAACAGACUCGAGGGUAGGCACCGGCUCGAGGGUAGAAACCAGCUCGAGGGUAAGCACUGGUUCAAGGGUAGAAACCAGCUCGAAGGUAAGCACCAGCUCGAGUAUAAAAGCGAAUUCGAGGGUAGGCACCAGCUCGAGGAUAGAAACCAGCUCGAGGGUAAGCACCAGCUCGAGAAUAGACACGCCCCCACUCAGAUCAGGGUGCCUCUUCUUCUCUUCCUGAUUCUACAGGAUGCCCCGCUCAGAUCAGGGCGCUUGCGGUCGAUGGGCCUCUUCGGCUCUUCCUGACUCUGCAGGACACCCCCACUCAGAUCAGGGCGCCAACAUUCGAUGGGCAUCUUCGUCUCUUCCUGACUCUACAGGACACCCUCACUCAGAUCAGGGCGCCUGCGGUCUCCUGCAGUCGCGGAGCACUUUGGCUCGCAAUCAUCACUGCAGGGCGUCCCGAGCCGAGCUCGAGGGACGACUUUGUUAAUUUGGAUCCUGCAGUCGCAGAGCGCUUUGGCUCGCAGUCGACAUUGCAAGGCGUCCCGAGCCGAUUUCGAGGGACGACUUUGAUGAUUUGGAUCCUGCAGUCGCGGAGCACUUUGGCUCGCAGUCGACGCUGCAGGGCAUUCCGACCCGAGCUCGAGGGACGACUUUGUUGAUUUGGAUCCUGCAGUUGCGGAGCAUUUUGGCUCGCAGUCGACACUGCAGGGAGUCCCAAGCCGAGCUCGAGGGGCGACUUUAUAGAUUUAUCGCUAUAUAUAUAACUCAUGUCGUGGGGACAAUCGAGGCAUGUCGAGUCCAUUAAGACAUUUCAAAGACGCUUCAAAGAAGUCCUAUAGGAUAAUUUUAUUGAUAACACAUUUUGGGAUUUAAAAUCCUAAUCUGGAGGGGCUAAAGUUCCGUCCGGAGGUUGUAGCUUGAGUCUCGGGUCGUUAGACCCGGGCUGAUGGGGAUGAGGCCUCUUCACUGCCCUCGAGGUCAAGGAGCCGCUAGCAUGUGGGAUACACGGCUACAGCGUUGAUGGUGCCCGCGAUGGGACAGUUGUCGUUCUGCCCGUCGCAUGGCUCUGGGCUCUGUCCCUCGGGCUCCCUUCUGUCAGCUUGACCAUGAACAAACCGACCCAGCAGGCCUUGGCGGAUAAGUGCCUUGAUCUUAUCGCGGAGCUGGUAGCAGUCCUCCGUGUCAUGACCGUAAUCCCUAUGGAAGCGGCAGUACUUGUCUGAGCGCUUCCACGACCCUGAUGGUCGCAUCUUUGAUGGAGGUUGGAGAUAGCCAUGACCCUCGAUCUCCAUGAGAAUCCCUGCCUGGGUGGAUGUGAGAGGAGUGUACUUUCUAAACCUUUGGAGGGGAGCAUAUUUUUCGGGCUUCUGGAGGGGAGACAUCGGACGAACCGUGCUUCUAGGCUGGGAAAGAUCUCUCUUGCGCCGGAGGGAUUUGCUCCUUGACCGACUACGCUCCUUAUGGCGCUUCGCAACUUAGUCCCGGAGCGUCUGGAUUUGUUGCUCCAAUUUCUCAACAUUCUUGCCGAGUUCGGCGACGGACGAAGCUCCCAUCUGCUGGAGGCCUUGAACAGCCGCGGUAAGUGUUUGGACUUGCUGGGCGAGCCGGUAAAACUGCUCUGGCUGGACCUGAAGAGCUUGGUCCGCCGGCGUAGGUGAUGCAGGGGGUGGACUUUGAAGCGAGUUGUCGGGUGUUGGUAUCCGGCUACUCAAUGCAUUUGGAGUUUCGUGACUCCUUGAUCUCAUGAUCAUGACUCAGGCCCUUAAUCUAGAGCCAAAUGUUGUGGUUCAAAUUUGGCCCGAGGGUGACCACGCCGGGGGAGUCGAGGGAGCUGUUAGCUGGAGCGGAGAAACCACACGACGGCGUACCUGCACGAAGCCUCACCGGUGGUUCCGGUGAGGGCCCUCCGACGUUCAAGUUAGAGUGGAUCUUAAUUGGUCCAAGAGUCCCCCUUUAUGUUACCUGAUGGGGCUAUUUUUAGUUCCGGUAGGGGUGUCCAGGUGGCGGAGGUAUGGCCCGUCCUCAUUAUGGGAGGAGAUGGAUUUUAGACAGGUGGCGCGUAGCUAAUGCUUGCUUGAAGCGCACGGUGCAGGCCGUUCCUGCGAACGAUAAGACAUUGAUAGGUGUGACGGGGUAUGGCUGGAGCAGCAUGGCGUUUUCCUUGGCUAUCGUCGGCAGCAAGCAAAGCAUGGUUCGGUGACGUUGUAACGUACGGC
Molecule: long non-coding RNA, 7615 nt
Filed under: Phoenix dactylifera (date palm)
Lineage: Eukaryota; Viridiplantae; Streptophyta; Magnoliopsida; Arecales; Arecaceae
Description: long non-coding RNA (PDAC_LNC004161)
Source: RNAcentral